This 331-nucleotide small nuclear RNA is filed under the name Felis catus (domestic cat). RNAcentral describes it as "7SK RNA". It matches the Rfam family "7SK RNA". Rfam says of the family: 7SK was discovered as an abundant small nuclear RNA in the mid-70s but a possible function has only recently been suggested. Lineage: Eukaryota; Metazoa; Chordata; Mammalia; Carnivora; Felidae. The record is from Rfam by way of RNAcentral.
GGAUGUGAGGGCGAUCUGGCUGCAACAUUUGUCACCCCAUUGAUCGCCAGGGUUGAUUCGGCUGAUCUGGCUGGCUAGGCGGGUGUCCCGUUCCUCCCUCACUGCUCCAUGUGCGUCCCUCUCGAAGCUGCGCGCUCAGUUGAAGAGGACGACCUUCCCCGAUAGAGGAGGACCGUUCUUCGGUCAAGGGUAUAGGAGUAGCUGCGCUCCCCUGCUAGAACCUCCAAACAAGCUCUCAAGGUCCAUUUGUAGGAGAACGUAGGGUAGUCAAGCUUCCAAGACUCCAGACACAUCCAAAUGAGGCACUGCACGUGGCAGUCUGCCUUUAUUU